AUGGAGCUUCUGGGGAUACCACGAUCCCUACCGAUUCUUGGAGGAAGGGUGUUUCCUUUGCUCAGACAGUACCGUGUCUAUGGAACACAUCAUUCCCUAACCUGGAGCAGCUUACAAACCACCGGGAGAAAGCAGAACCUGAAUGGGGGUCGGCCUGCACAGUGUGCGACGAGUCACGAUGGAGCUUCUAUCUCACAUGCAAAUGGUGCUCCAAAGGAUUCACCUUUGCCGGAUAGUUUGCUUCGUGAUGCUCGCAUCCUCUAUUGUGCUUCUCCUGCCAUGGGUCAUAACAAGGAAGCACAUCCAGAAUCAAACAAAAGAGUGCCAGCAAUAGUUGAUGCUCUCGAAAAAUUGGAGCUUACACCAAAGCAUCGGGGUUCACAGGUUCUUGAAAUCCAAAAUUUCUACCCUGCUUCACUUGAUGAUGUUGCACGAGUUCAUUCAAGAACAUACAUCACUGGACUCGAAAAGGCUAUGAGUAAGGCUUUGGAUGAAGGUUUGAUAUUCAUCGAAGGAACUGGACCAACAUAUGCUACACAGACUACUUUCGCAGAAUCACUUCUUUCAGCUGGUGCUGGAAUUACAUUGGUUGAUUCAGUGGUUGCCGCAUCAAAGCUGGGCCUAAGUCCACCUCUUGGAUUUGCGCUAAUAAGGCCACCCGGACACCAUGCUGUUCCUGAAGGUCCCAUGGGCUUUUGCGUCUUUGGGAACAUUGCAGUUGCAGCUCGGUACGCUCAGCAUCAACAUGGAUUGAAGCGAGUAAUGAUAAUAGAUUUUGACGUUCACCAUGGCAAUGGCACAUCUGAUGCCUUUUAUGACGAUCCAGACAUCUUCUUCCUCUCAACCCACCAGCUAGGAAGCUAUCCCGGUACUGGUAAGAUGAACCUAAUUGGUCAGGGCAGUGGCGAAGGAACAACGCUCAACCUGCCAUUGCCCGGUGGCUCAGGUGACUACUCAAUGAGGUGCGCCUUUGAUGAGGUCAUUGCUCCAUCUGCGCAGCGGUUCAAGCCCGAUAUCAUCCUCGUUUCAGCUGGCUACGACGCGCACGCGCUGGACCCUCUAGCGGGUCUGCAGUUCACGACGGGCACGUUCUACAUGCUGGCGUCGAGCAUCAAGCAGCUGGCCAGGGAGCUGUGCAGCGGCCGCUGCGUCUUCUUCCUGGAAGGUGGUUACAACCUGCAGUCGCUCUCCAGCUCUGUGGCUGACACCUUCCGCGCGUUCCUCGACGAGCCCAGCCUCGCUGCUCAGUUUGACGACCCGACAAUGUUGUAUGAGGAGCCGACGCGGAGGAUCAAGGAGGCGAUUGAGAAGGUCAGGCAUCUUCACUCGCUCUAG
This 1335-nucleotide ribosomal RNA is filed under the name Triticum aestivum (bread wheat). RNAcentral describes it as "partial small subunit ribosomal RNA". Lineage: Eukaryota; Viridiplantae; Streptophyta; Magnoliopsida; Poales; Poaceae. The record is from RNAcentral.